This is a long non-coding RNA of Dreissena polymorpha, 2980 nucleotides long. RefSeq lists it as uncharacterized. Lineage: Eukaryota; Metazoa; Mollusca; Bivalvia; Myida; Dreissenidae. The record is from RefSeq and is a predicted model, not a curated record. The transcript is spliced from 2 exons.
UAACACUAGAAACUGUAAAGUUUAUGUGUAAUAAAUUAUGUUCUGUAUAUUACAUGAUAAUCUAUCAAUGUUGUUUUGUGAACACAACCUCUGGUUCUAUGGAAAAAAAAACACAAACCUUGAGCACUUAAUUUGUCGGUAUGUGUGCAUUUGUGUGUAUGGGUGUGCGAUAAAUUGCAAGUGUUUCCUGUUCGCGUGUUUUCGUUUUGUGUGAAUUAUGUUAAGCAAAUUAAUUUAACAAAAAAGUUUAUUUGACUUUAUUAGAUGAUAGUAUUGAGUGUCCUACCAAGAAAAAUUGGUGCACGCUAUUAAGGGAUCUACUAAGUAAUUUGGGAUUUUAUGAUGCUUGGUUUUUUCAAGAUGUUGGAAAUGAAAAUAUGUUUGUAUCAGUCGUAAGACAAAGAUAGAGCGACAUGUUUGUACAGAAUUGGAAUGAGCGACUUCAUACUUCUACUAGGGCAAAUUUUUAUAAACAUAUCUCCGUUUUUCAAUUUCAACCGUACCUGAAUAUAUGCAAUGUCAACAAGUUUCGAGUAAAUUUAUCAAAAUUACGUAUGUCAUCACAUAGAUUAAAUAUCGAGUCAGGCAGAUGGGCUAGACCUACACCAAUUCCAUUAGAUCAAAGAAAGUGUACUGUUUGUAAUAAACUCGAAAAAUAGUUUCAUUUUAUUCUUGAAUGUACAAUAUAUACUGAACUGAGAUCAAAAUAUAUUCCAUUGUAUUACAGACAACGACCAAACAUGUACAAAUUUAUCGAGCUAAUAGAGCUAAUAACAUCAAAUAAUGAACAAUUAAUAAAAAAAUUAAGCUGUUAUAUUUAUCACUCUUUUAAUGUUCGAACGCAUAAUACAUGUGUCAUCAAUUUGAUUUAUUCUGAAAUGUUUUGUGCGGUAUAUAUCUUGUUGUAACUUUAAUUGCAUUUAUUAUGUACUGCAUAUUAAUUGUUGGGAUAGUACCGCAUAUGUAACGUGUUUUUAUUCACGUGUUUUUUAAUCUGUCUUUGUGUUUUAACGGUCGCCUUUAAUGGACUGUCAAAACUGUAUUUGAAUGUAUUUAAUCAAUUGCCAUUAUUAUCUUUUUAAUGAAGGUUAUAUUAUAGUAUCGUGUCUGUUCCUAGAUGUAUUCUACGACAAUAUGGCUGCAUUUUUAGAACUGUUAUGCACUGAUUUACAACUAUUAUGUCUGUCGGUCGGUCGGUCCGUAUACCAGGUGGUUUCCGGAUGAUAACUCAAUAACGCUUGGGCCUAGGAUCAUGAAACUUCAUAGGAACAUUGAUCAUGACUCGCAGAUGACCCCUAUUGAUUUUCAGAUCACUAGGUCAAAGGUCAAGGUCAUGGUGACCCGAAAUAGUAAAAUGGUUUCCGGAUAUCUCAAGAACGCUUAUGCCUAGGAUCAUGAAACUUCAUAGGUACAUUGAUCAUGACUCGCAGAUGACCCCUAUUGAUUUUCAGGUCACUAGGUCAAAGGUCAAGGUCACGGUGACCCGAAAUAGUAACAUGGUUUCCGGAUGAUAACUGAAGAACGCUUAUGCCUAGGAUCAUGAAACUUGAUAGGUAGAUUGAUCAGGACUCGCAGAUGACCCCUAUUGAUUUUCAGGGCACAAGGUCAAAGGUCACUGUGACAUAAAACAUAUUCACACAAUGGCUGUCACUACAACGUAGAGCCCAUAUGGGGGGCAUGCAUGUUUUACAAACAGCCCUUUUUAAUGAAACAUGUAUGAAUUGUUGCAAUGAAACGUUUUUUUUUCUUUUUUGUAAAUUCAUGUAUUAUUUAUGUUGUAAACACUGUAUGCUUACUUAGUCCACUUGGGCUUUUGGCCUUCUGGGUGUGUUGUUUAAUAAACAAUAAACAAUAUGUAAGACUUAUCAAACGUACUGAUAAAUACUAUUGUUUAUAUAGCAUUCAACAUGACUUUUGGACCAUGUAUAUGUUAAUUUCUUAGGUGACCUGUAUAGGGUUUAUACAAUGAUAUUGAAUAUAAAUUAAUAUCAAACGUUGUCUUUUCAGUGCAUUUUGUUGUGUUUGUUUAUUUAGAUAAUUGAACUGAUUUAUAACAUCCAUUUAACAAAGUUCAUUGUUUCCAGAGCCUUUGGGUUGCCUAUAUUUCCGUUUCGUAUAGGUAGACUGUAAGGGCUGACGUUUAUGCUAUUAUUACAUGCAUGUGUUUUAAUUGACUUUUAUUUUAGAAGAUCUGUCAACAAGUUUUUAACAAGCCUGUUACUAUAACAAACUGUUCUACUACCCUUAAACAUAUGAUGUAUAUAUAAAUGUACUAGUAACAUACGAAUAUUCAUAAUAAAACCGACUAUGUUAAUUCUGAUUAGUACAAAGUGUUUUUAUUAGUACAUCUUGCUUAUGGAGACCUAAUAAAUGUAAAUUACAGUAUAUUUAUGCCCCCCUUCGAAGAAGAGGGGGUAUAUUGCUUUGCUCAUGUCGGUCUGUCGGUCGGUCCGUCCACCAGGUGGUUGUCAGACGAUAACUCAAGAACGCUUGGGCCUAGGAUCAUGAAACUUCAUGGGUAGAUUGAUCAUGACUUGCAGAUGACCCCUAUUGAUUUUGAGGUCACUAGGUCAAAGGUCAAGGUCACGGUGACAAAAAUCGUAUACACACAAUGGCUGCCACUACAACGGACAGCCCAUAUGGGGGGCAUGCAUGUUUUACAAACAGCCCUUGUUUGUAUAUUGCAUUAAAUUGAGUUUAUUAGCCUCAUACACUCUGACGCACUUAGGAUAUAUUUAAUUACAUGUAUACUUUCGAUAAUUAUUUAUGUUCUAGUGUAAUGUAUAAUAACUCAUAAUGUAUAAUAAUUCAUGUAGGCACCGUUGUAACCAAACGAUUUUAUUUCUUUGCAUAACUUUAUUUUGUAUAAUCAUAAACUGUGUAUUGUGGAAACACUGUAUCAUGUAUGCUUGAUUUGUCCACUUGGGCUUUUGGCUUUCUGGAUGGAUUGUUUAAUAAACUAUGUUCUAAAAAAUGCAAA